UAGGGGUUCUGAGAGGAAGGUCCCCCACAUUGGAACUGAGACACGGUCCAAACUCCUACGGGAGGCAGCAGUGAGGAGUAUUGGUCAAUGGACGAGAGUCUGAACCAGCCAAGUAGCGUGCAGGAUGACGGCCCUAUGGGUUGUAAACUGCUUUUAUAAGGGAAUAAAGUGAGUCUUGUGAGACUUUUUGCAUGUACCUUAUGAAUAAGGACCGGCUAAUUCCGUGCCAGCAGCCGCGGUAAUACGGAAGGUCCGGGCGUUAUCCGGAUUUAUUGGGUUUAAAGGGAGCGUAGGCCGGAGAUUAAGCGUGUUGUGAAAUGUAGACGCUCAACGUCUGCACUGCAGCGCGAACUGGUUUCCUUGAGUACGCACAAAGUGGGCGGAAUUCGUGGUGUAGCGGUGAAAUGCUUAGAUAUCACGAAGAACUCCGAUUGCGAAGGCAGCUCACUGGAGCGCAACUGACGCUGAAGCUCGAAAGUGCGGGUAUCGAACAGGAUUAGAUACCCUGGUAGUCCGCACGGUAAACGAUGGAUGCCCGCUGUUGGUCUGAAUAGGUCAGCGGCCAAGCGAAAGCAUUAAGCAUCCCACCUGGGGAGUACGCCGGCAACGGUGAAACUCAAAGGAAUUGACGGGGGCCCGCACAAGCGGAGGAACAUGUGG
RNAcentral lists this ribosomal RNA (660 nucleotides) under uncultured bacterium. RNAcentral's name for it is "bacterial SSU rRNA". It matches the Rfam family "Bacterial small subunit ribosomal RNA", at positions 284 to 944 of the family's 1533-position model. The record is from RNAcentral.